CUGUCAUCGCUUCUGGUGCCUGAUCGAUAUUGGUAGUGUACUCUUGUUCCUUGCAGCCUGUGAACUGAAUCAUCAAUCCUUCCCAUUUAUAAAGGCUACUCCAGCAGUGGGGGUACGUACCAGGGUUAGCUCAGUUUGUUGAGUAAUUAAUUUGACAUGGUCUCCCUAAUGGCCUGCAGAUUCCAUUAUCCAAAAGCCCGGUUCCCAGUUCCAUACCAAUUUGACAUUCCUUUCAGAAGCGCUAAAGCGACAAAGGAGGUAACAAUAGCCCACAGCCCAUAUGUGUUUGCUUGAGAGACCUUAUUUCACAAUUGAUCGUUGGUUCAGCUUAUGGGUUGUCCAACUUUUCCUUUUCUUAACAUGUCUGACAAACUUAGUACUACCCUUACAUGCGGCGAAAUGCCGUAACUUCAGCAAUCAAUCAAUGAGUUAAAAGGCAGUGAGUAUGGGGAAAGCUAGUAGAAUGAAACCGAAGAAACAGAUUGCUGUUCAACAUAUAUAUAAUCAUUCUCAAGCCCAUGUCAAGUAGCUCACCGCGUAAUGCUGUGAGAUGAUUAUGCGAUUAUGUUCAUUCAUCCUAUGUGUCAAGCCCUUGAUGAUGCGCAUAAUACUCUUGUAAAGAACCUACUUCCUAGCCAUACUAUUAGCCGUAUGCCCUUCUAGCCAUACUUUUCCUCUGUUUUUCUGCUUGAUACCUUACUAAUUGUAAUGGAGGUCAUUUAGCUAAGGGGGUUGUUCGAGUGUUUAUUCAUUCAUUUUUGUGUAUAUCAAGCAUGUGCCUUUCCUUUUUAGUCAUUAUUGAUUUAUUGGGGAACCUCUUACGCCUUUUUUAUAUGUAUUUCCCCUGCAUCUGUUCCUGCAAAAAAGCUGUAGGUGUUACCGUCCACAACAGGGAAAAAAACAUGUAUCACUGGAAAUAUAGAAACCAAAUUAAUUGUCCAGAACUGACCGCGUAUUAUUUAUUUGCUUAACUUAUGCAAGUUUCAUUACUUUUGGUUCUUUUUUGAAUGGUUAAAACUUAAAAUAGUACUUGAACCACAGUUGAUCACCCCACAAGUGCAUCUUUGCUUCGGAAAGGAAGUAGUUAAUGGAGAGUUAAUACGCGUCAUCUUUUCUGCACUUGUUCAUCUUUGCUUCUGCACUUAGUCAUCUUCCCAGGCUGUUAUGCAUACUUGUUUGCCGCAUAACCACCGUACUGCACUUUAAUUUGUUGGACACAUACAAGACAUAUGCAGCUGUGUUCAGUUGAUCUAAAAAAUUAAAAUAGUAUAAUUAGCAUUUAACCACAAAGGUGUAGCUUUCCAGAGUAUAGUAGAAGGGAAAAGCUGAAAGGCACUAAUCACUAGUUGCUAGUCCCCCUCUCGCAUCCUACAAAGUAGAACUAAUGAUGAUGCGGUGUUCCUAAUGACAUUUAUUUUUCACUUUUGACUCUGUAUUGUUGGACUGAUUUGGUUGCUGUCAGAUGAUAUUUAUGUCAAAGAAGUAAGUUGUUGUAUGCACAUACACAGGUCCCCUGAGUAAUCUUUUCUUUCCUGAAGAAGAAUUGAUUACAGGAGUUGGUUUGUAAAUAUGCUCUAGCUGUGUGUACGUAAGGGAGAAGAAGCGAGUAAAGUGGAUAGUAGCUAGGUUGGGUUGGUCCAGAAAGAAAAGAAGAGAGAUGAGAAUGUGAUCAUUGUAAAGCAAGUGUUUUCUGGCUGUUUUUUUUUU
Molecule: long non-coding RNA, 1707 nt
Filed under: Hordeum vulgare
Lineage: Eukaryota; Viridiplantae; Streptophyta; Magnoliopsida; Poales; Poaceae
Description: long non-coding RNA (HVUL_LNC008463)
Source: RNAcentral